UGGGGAAUAUUGGACAAUGGGCGAAAGCCUGAUCCAGCCAUGCCGCGUGUGUGAAGAAGGUCUUCGGAUUGUAAAGCACUUUAAGUUGGGAGGAAGGGUUGUAGAUUAAUACUCUGCAAUUUUGACGUUACCGACAGAAUAAGCACCGGCUAACUCUGUGCCAGCAGCCGCGGUAAUACAGAGGGUGCAAGCGUUAAUCGGAAUUACUGGGCGUAAAGCGCGCGUAGGUGGUUUGUUAAGUUGGAUGUGAAAUCCCCGGGCUCAACCUGGGAACUGCAUUCAAAACUGACAAGCUAGAGUAUGGUAGAGGGUGGUGGAAUUUCCUGUGUAGCGGUGAAAUGCGUAGAUAUAGGAAGGAACACCAGUGGCGAAGGCGACCACCUGGACUGAUACUGACACUGAGGUGCGAAAGCGUGGGGAGCAAACAGGAUUAGAUACCCACGUAGUCCCUGAGCGGGCUGGCAAGGCGCAU
This 472-nucleotide ribosomal RNA is filed under the name uncultured bacterium. Its description in RNAcentral is "bacterial SSU rRNA". It matches the Rfam family "Bacterial small subunit ribosomal RNA", at positions 355 to 825 of the family's 1533-position model. The record is from RNAcentral.